UACGUAGGGUGCAAGCGUUAAUCGGAAUCACUGGGCGUAAAGGGCGCGUAGGCGGGAUGGCAAGUCAGUCGUGAAAUCUCUCGGCUCAACCGAGAAACGUCGGCUGAUACUGCCGUUCUUGAGGGAUGCAGAGGAGACUGGAAUUCCCGGUGUAGCGGUGAAAUGUGUAGAGAUCGGGAGGAACACCGGUGGCGAAGGCGGGUCUCUGGGCAUCUCCUGACGCUGAGGCGCGAAAGCGUGGGGAGCAAACGGG
RNAcentral lists this ribosomal RNA (253 nucleotides) under uncultured bacterium. RNAcentral's name for it is "partial 16S ribosomal RNA". It matches the Rfam family "Bacterial small subunit ribosomal RNA", at positions 524 to 776 of the family's 1533-position model. The record is from RNAcentral.